GGAGGUCCAACGCGACGCAGCGCUGCGACGACGGAGCGAUCUCUGCUCUGUGCCGCAAGAUCGAGCGCCCGUUGACCAAAUAGAGCCCCACUGCCACCACAUCGAGUGCUCCGGGACCGGAGCGAGCUCCACUGCGGCCUGCUCGAGCGUCCCAACGACCAGAUUGAGACCGCAUCGAUCCAACCAACGCAGUUAGAUCCAGCUAUCGUUUGUCCACUUCUUGCCGCGGAGGGGCCUAAGAUGGGAAGGGGCAGAGGGGGCGGGCGCCACAGCUACGAUGAAGAGGGGCAGAGGUGGGCGCGACGCUAGGAGAGGGGCUAGCGCUGCACCACUUGUGCAGGGGCAGAGGUAGCUAAAGGUGGAGAAAGAUGGAGUGGCUCCGGGAAGAGAAAAAGCUCCGGCCGGAUUCUGACCGACUGGAGAUCGUGGGGCGAUUGCCGAUUUCAAGCACCGUGGCGAGAGCUUGAGCUGCACCAUCGAUGUCAGGCCUACGCAGAUGUGUGUCGGGGUCUCAUCUUCUGAUUCUGUUUAGUGGUGGUUCAUCUGGUCUUGGGUCAGCAAGGUACGCCAAUGAUUUUAGGCAUUCUAGACAAGAAUGAAAGAUUACACAGACCGGGUCAGAAGCUCGAAGAUGGAACUUGGUGCCAUGAGUCCAACACCUCUGAGCUGAAGGAUAUGGCAAUGUAUACUGAAAAUAGCUUGGGGGCUCCACUCGCAUAGUUUAAGUCAUUUGGAAAGAAUGUGGUAGUGUCAUUGUGUAACAUGUUUGGGUUUUUUUUGUUGUUGUUGAGAGUGGACUUGUAAUCACCAUGGAUAAAGAAUGACAGCCCUGCAACUUUGUGAGUUGGGUUUGGAUUUACAAAACAAUGGUGCUUUUAGGAGUAUAGGAUUGCCUUAAACCAUCUAAGUGGCCCAGAUGGAUUCUAAUUGUUCAA
Molecule: non-coding RNA, 935 nt
Organism: Lolium perenne
Lineage: Eukaryota; Viridiplantae; Streptophyta; Magnoliopsida; Poales; Poaceae
Source: RefSeq, a predicted model, not a curated record